AGGCGAACGGCUGAGUAACACGUGGGCAACCUGCCCUUUGCACUGGGAUAGCCUCGGGAAACCGAGGUUAAUACCGGAUACUCCAUAUUUGUCGCAUGGCGAAUAUGGGAAAGCUCCGGCGGCAAAGGAUGGGCCCGCGGCCUGUUAGCUAGUUGGUGGGGUAGUGGCCUACCAAGGCAAUGAUGGGUAGCCGGGUUGAGAGACCGACCGGCCAGAUUGAGACUGAGACACGGCCCAGACUCCUACGGGAGGCAGCAGCA
This 260-nucleotide ribosomal RNA is filed under the name uncultured Atopobium sp. RNAcentral describes it as "partial 16S ribosomal RNA". It matches the Rfam family "Bacterial small subunit ribosomal RNA", at positions 96 to 355 of the family's 1533-position model. Lineage: Bacteria; Bacillati; Actinomycetota; Coriobacteriia; Coriobacteriales; Atopobiaceae. The record is from RNAcentral.